GUCGUCACAAACUGUAUCUUGCUUCAAAAAGGUUAAACUAGAAAUGAAAAAGGUUAAACAAAUUAAUCUUUUCAAAUUAAGCAUAAUUCCCUACCGUUCGUGACAUGAUCUCUCACCAAUUAAAACUAUACUCUUAUCUGAAGAAUAUCUCCUUUGUUGGGUAAGUGUCUUAUCUAAAUGUUAAACCAACGUCAGCGUAUCGCAAGUUUUUUUGUGGCUUCAUCGGACAAACGACUCAGCAGCAACCUUUCUUGGACGAUGAUCAAUAGUCAAGAUGAUCCCCACAGAUGUGAAGCAAUGGUUAUGGAGUGAGAGAAGACACUGAGUGGGAUGAUGGCCCAACAGCUUG
Juglans microcarpa x Juglans regia is the source of this 349-nucleotide long non-coding RNA. RefSeq lists it as uncharacterized. The transcript has 3 exons. The record is from RefSeq and is a predicted model, not a curated record. NCBI's taxonomy places the organism in Eukaryota, Viridiplantae, Streptophyta, Magnoliopsida, Fagales, Juglandaceae.